GCGACGGUGGUGUAAAGGCGUAGAGCAUUCCCGCCCGGUCAGAGGGAGGUGCGGGUUCGAGUCCCGCCUGGCGCU
Heligmosomoides polygyrus is the source of this 75-nucleotide non-coding RNA. Lineage: Eukaryota; Metazoa; Nematoda; Chromadorea; Rhabditida; Heligmosomidae. The record is from Rfam.